CGGAGCCUUCUCACUUGCUGGCUUCGUGGUCACAGCAGGCGGCUUUCCCUCGCUCUCUCCCUCGCUCGUGUGUUUGUUCAUUGGACCUCUCUGCUGCUGCUGGCCGGGGCUAAAUGCUGAGAUACUGAGAUGAAGAUGACAGAGACCCUGCUCUCAAAUGGCUCACGGCCAGGUCGGGGAGGCAGACAGCUAACUGACCCACUUCCUAAUGGUUCAGUCUGAACAGUUUUUUUAUCUUCUGGGGGUACAGUGAGCAUCCUAUUUGGGACCAGUUCAGAAAGUUUUGACUGUCACAAAGAAGAGUUUGCUGCGAUGGGCAGUGGGGAGCCAAGGAAGGCUCUUGAGUGGGAGAAUGGCAUGAUUAAAGAAGUUCCCUCUAAUCUGCUGUGAGGAGCAAACGUGGCAGCAGAGAGACCAGUGUGGAGGCUGUAGGUGAGGAUGGCGAUGUCACCACUUCAAAGAGGCCUUUCCUGACCAUCUGGCUCACUAGAAUAUGAGUGCCAAGAGGGCAGGAGUUUGUCUGUUGUGUGGCAGAGACCAACAAUAAGAAGUUGACACUUCAACAAGAUCCUUUCUGCUAGGGAUACGUGCUAUCAGAAGAAUCAGGAAACACCAGGAACUCCGGAGAGACCUUCACUGAGUUCUGGCGAAACGAGUGAGUUGACUGAGUCCUCUACAUGCCUGGCGCUGUGUGGAGUGUUUCCCCGCAUCGUCUCAUCCAAUCCUCAGAAAUAAUCGUGUGCAGGAAGUGCCGUUACUUUCCUUUCUUUUACAAAUAAAGAACCAAUGCUCAGAGAGGGCAAGUGAUUUGCCCAAGAUCACACAGCCCACAAGUGUCAGAACCAGGAUCCCAGCCCAGACCCGCAGGCUCUGGCGUCUACCCUUGUAACCCUGGCACCUGAGUCUCCCAAACUCCCUUCUGCUCCGAGUGUUGUGUCAUCCGUGCUCUGUCUUCCUUCCUCUGUGUUCUAAAUGGACUCCCCACUCGCCCUUUUUUUUUUU
RNAcentral lists this long non-coding RNA (1002 nucleotides) under Equus caballus (horse). RNAcentral's name for it is "lncRNA (ENSECAG00000052646.1)". The record is from RNAcentral. Lineage: Eukaryota; Metazoa; Chordata; Mammalia; Perissodactyla; Equidae.